Molecule: non-coding RNA, 949 nt
Organism: Oreochromis niloticus (Nile tilapia)
Lineage: Eukaryota; Metazoa; Chordata; Actinopteri; Cichliformes; Cichlidae
Source: the annotation of a RefSeq genome assembly
CCACAAAGUAAAACAGAUGUUGUGUCCAAAAGUGUCAGCUGUAACUGGGACUGCUGCUGCACCACAACAAUCCUGCGUGUCGUGUCCACAGACAUGACGUCUCUCAGGUUUGUGUUUUAAGAUCCAAUCAAAUAAGAUGAUGCUUCAUUUGAACAAACAGUUGUGAACAAAAAUCCUUCCCAACAUACACAAACUAUUCUGAGAUGUUUCUUGAAUUCAGGACUUCUUACACAUUUUUCUCCAAAUGUCUCAAGUUUCAGACUUUUUAACUGUGUGAGUAUCACCGACUCUCUGACUCUGUCUACAUCGUUAAUGUGACUUCUGCUUGUGUGACGUGUCACACGGCUCCCUUAAAUCCUUUUGGUUAUAAAGUGUGUUAACCACAGGAGGAGGAGUGACUGAGAGCAGAGAGGAGGAGCAGAGAUUCAGGGAGGAGCUGAGCUGUUACUGAACUAUAGAAGAGAGAAAAACCUCCACAUUCAACAGAGUUCAACACAAAACAAACUUUAUGUUCCUCAACAUGCUGUCAUUACAUCACUGUGUGUUUCCUUACUGGCUUCUCUUCCUGUUAACAGGUGUGAUCUGUGAGGAGCUCACAGCACUCGACACUCAGAAAUCCAGUUUAGAACAAAGCACUGUGACUCUGUCCUAUAAAUACUCCAGACAAGCAGCUCCUGGUGAUUAUUUCUUCUGGUAUCGACAAUAUCCUGGAAAAUCUCCAGAGUUCCUGAUCUCUCACUCAGACAAAGGACAGCUGACAUCAGAUCCAGUCAUUAGACUGUCUGUGAAAGUGAACGCUGAUCAAACACUGAUGACUCUUCAGAUCUCCUCUGCUGCAGUGACAGACUCUGCUGUGUACUACUGUGCUGUGAGGCCCACAGUGACAGGAAACACCAAAACUCUGUACAAAAACCUUUGGAGCAAAGACAACAGAAUACUCCACAACAUC